RNAcentral lists this ribosomal RNA (497 nucleotides) under uncultured bacterium. RNAcentral's name for it is "partial 16S ribosomal RNA". It matches the Rfam family "Bacterial small subunit ribosomal RNA", at positions 28 to 507 of the family's 1533-position model. The record is from RNAcentral.
GAUGAACGCCGGCGGCGUGCCUAAUACAUGCAAGUCGAGCGAACAGACGAGGAGCUUGCUCCUCUGACGUUAGCGGCGGACGGGUGAGUAACACGUGGAUAACCUACCUAUAAGACUGGGAUAACUUCGGGAAACCGGAGCUAAUACCGGAUAAUAUAUUGAACCGCAUGGUUCAAUAGUGAAAGACGGUUUUGCUGUCACUUAUAGCUUGCUCAGCGCCGCAUUAGCUAGUUGGUAAGGUAACGGCUUACCAAGGCAACGAUGCGUAGCCGACCUGAGAGGGAGAUCCGCCACACUGGAACUGAGAAACGGCCCAGACUCCUACGCGAGGCAGCAGCAGGGAAUCCUCCGCAAGGGGGCAAAGCCUGACGUUGGAACGUCGCGUGAGUGAUGAUGGUCUUCUGCUCGUAAAACUCUGUUAUUAGGGAAGAACAAAUGUGUAAGUAACUAUGCACAUCUUGACGGUACCUAAUCAGAAAGCUACGGCUAACUACGUG